UAGGGAAUCUUCCGCAAUGGGCGAAAGCCUGACGGAGCAACGCCGCGUGAGUGAUGAAGGUCUUCGGAUCGUAAAACUCUGUUAUUAGGGAAGAACAAAUGUGUAAGUAACUAUGCACGUCUUGACGGUACCUAAUCAGAAAGCCACGGCUAACUACGUGCCAGCAGCCGCGGUAAUACGUAGGUGGCAAGCGUAUCCGGAAUUAUUGGGCGUAAAGCGCGCGUAGGCGGUUUUUUAAGUCUGAUGUGAAAGCCCACGGCUCAACCGUGGAGGGUCAUUGGAAACUGGAAAACUUGAGUGCAGAAGAGGAAAGUGGAAUUCCAUGUGUAGCGGUGAAAUGCGCAGAGAUAUGGAGGAACACCAGUGGCGAAGGCGACUUUCUGGUCUGUAACUGACGCUGAUGUGCGAAAGCGUGGGGAUCAAACAGG
RNAcentral lists this ribosomal RNA (428 nucleotides) under Actinomycetes bacterium. Its description in RNAcentral is "Actinobacteria bacterium partial 16S ribosomal RNA". It matches the Rfam family "Bacterial small subunit ribosomal RNA", at positions 355 to 776 of the family's 1533-position model. Lineage: Bacteria; Bacillati; Actinomycetota; Actinomycetes. The record is from RNAcentral.